CCUACGUGUGGCAGCAGUGAGGAAUAUUGGUCCAUGGGCGCGAGCCUGAACCAGCCAAGUAGCGUGAAGGAUGACUGCCCUACGGGUUGUAAACUUCUUUUAUAAAGGAAUAAAGUGGGGCACGUGUGCCUUUUUGUAUGUACUUUAUGAAUAAGGAUCGGCUAACUCCGGGCCAGCAGCCGCGGUAAUACGGAGGAUCCGAGCGUUAUCCGGAUUUAUUGGGUUUAAAGGGAGCGUAGAUGGGUUGUUAAGUUAGUGGUGAAAGUUUGCAGCUCAACCGUAAAAUUGCAAUUGAUACUGGCAGCCUUGAGUACAGUUGAGGUAGGCGGAAUGCGUGGUGUAGCGGUGAAAUGCUUAGAUAUCACGAAGAACACCGAUUGCGAAGGCAGCUUACUAAACUGCCACUGACAUUGAGGCUCGAAAGUGUGGGUAUCAAACAGGAUUAGAUACCCCUGUAGUC
RNAcentral lists this ribosomal RNA (460 nucleotides) under uncultured bacterium. Its description in RNAcentral is "partial 16S ribosomal RNA". It matches the Rfam family "Bacterial small subunit ribosomal RNA", at positions 338 to 795 of the family's 1533-position model. The record is from RNAcentral.